RNAcentral lists this unclassified non-coding RNA (300 nucleotides) under uncultured Tremellales. RNAcentral describes it as "sequence contains 5.8S rRNA gene, ITS2". The stretch from base 1 to 71 matches the Rfam family "5.8S ribosomal RNA", at positions 84 to 154 of the family's 154-position model. Lineage: Eukaryota; Fungi; Basidiomycota; Tremellomycetes; Tremellales. The record is from RNAcentral.
GUGAAUCAUCGAAUCUUUGAACGCACCUUGCGCCUUUUGGUAUUCCGAAAGGCAUGCCUGUUUGAGUGUCAUGAAAUCUCAAUCCCCCCGGGUUUAUGAUCUGGGUUGGGACUUGGACUUGGGUGCUGCCGGUUACAUGGCUCGCCUCAAAUGACUUAGUGGAUCUCUCUGCAUCCGUGACAGACGUAAUAAGUUUCGUCUUGUCCCUUGCUGUCUGAGUCUGCUCCUAACCUGCCAUUGUGCACUUUUAGACUCUGACCUCAAAUCAGGUAGGACUACCCGCUGAACUUAAGCAUAUCA